GACGAACGCUGGCGGCGUGCUUAACACAUGCAAGUCGAACGGAAAGGCCCUGCUUGCAGGGUACUCGAGUGGCGAACGGGUGAGUAACACGUGGGUGAUCUGCCCUGCACUUCGGGAUAAGCCUGGGAAACUGGGUCUAAUACCGGAUAGGAGCCAGUCUUAGUGUGAUGGUUGGAAAGUUUUUUCGGUGUAGGAUGAGCUCGCGGCCUAUCAGCUUGUUGGUGGGGUAAUGGCCUACCAAGGCGGCGACGGGUAGCCGGCCUGGGAGGGUGGACGGCCACAUUGGGACUGAGAUACGGCCCAGACUCCUACGGGAGGCAGCAGUGGGGAAUAUUGCACAAUGGGCGCAAGCCUGAUGCAGCGACGCCGCGUGGGGGAUGACGGCCUUCGGGUUGUAAACUCCUUUCGCUAGGGACGAAGCUUUUUGUGACGGUACCUAGAUAAGAAGCACCGGCUAACUACGUG
Molecule: ribosomal RNA, 465 nt
Filed under: uncultured bacterium
Lineage: Bacteria
Description: partial 16S ribosomal RNA
Rfam family: Bacterial small subunit ribosomal RNA
Source: RNAcentral